Ruditapes philippinarum (Manila clam) is the source of this 459-nucleotide long non-coding RNA. RefSeq lists it as uncharacterized. The transcript has 3 exons. NCBI's taxonomy places the organism in Eukaryota, Metazoa, Mollusca, Bivalvia, Venerida, Veneridae. The record is from RefSeq and is a predicted model, not a curated record.
UUUAUUGGUUUAUAUCAGAAUUAACCGUAUAAGGUUAUAACGUGGCAUUCGGACAACUGCAAUAAUAACAAUUUCCAUUCAGACAGAGUUAUUCCCCUUUUAUACAUAACGCCAUUUACACCUAGACAGAGUUUUACAACAAAUAUUGAGAGAUUUCCAAUUACUUUUCGAAGAGGAUAUAUAAACAGUAAAUGGAUUAUGGAUAAGCUAAAGUCCUGAGACAGAAAGAAAAGUAUGGAAGAGAUGAAGAAUCUUGUGUAUAAGUCGUCCGACACGACAAGCUCAUGUAGCGGGGGAGUAAUGGAGUCGCGGCUGGAAAAGUUCCAGAUCAUCUUCAAUAAUCCAACAGCCACUUAUCAUGUAAGCGACACAGUCUAUGGGUAUGGAUGGGUCAUAUUGAAGGAACCAAUUUUCAUUCAAAGUAAGUCCUUAAAUGUUUGUCUGAGAGCAAGGUCACUU